Molecule: non-coding RNA, 106 nt
Filed under: Paramoeba aestuarina
Lineage: Eukaryota; Discosea; Flabellinia; Dactylopodida; Paramoebidae
Source: RNAcentral
AUUUAUUUUACGAAAGAAAGAAAUAUGGUUUCAAAAAACGAUAGCCAGACAAUCUCUCUUUCUCUCUCCUUUUUCUCUCUCCUUUUUCUCUCUCCUUUUUCUCUCU